Molecule: long non-coding RNA, 207 nt
Filed under: Lathyrus oleraceus (garden pea)
Lineage: Eukaryota; Viridiplantae; Streptophyta; Magnoliopsida; Fabales; Fabaceae
Description: Pisum sativum (pea) long non-coding RNA (PSAT_LNC024100)
Source: RNAcentral
AUUAUCUCCUCCACAGUUACGAACUACACCCAUCUUACCACCACCAACUGUUUCUACUCCCUAACCAAAUAAUCCAAACAUUACAACACCUAGAACAUCUCCUGAUAGAAGUGUUUCUGACGGACAUGUUUUCGAAGGCACUCCUGAAGGAAUGUUUGACUUCGAACCAGAAAUCACCUCUCCGAAAUCAUCUCCCAUUAUUCAACC